GCAGACACAUUCCAGCCAAUCAGCAGCAGACCCUCCCUCCCAGACCCUCCCACCUCCUGGACAGCAUCCAUUUUACAUUCAUUGUGAAGCUGCAUUCUUAGUGAGCUGUCCAGGAGGUGGAAGGGUCUGGGAGGGAGGGUCUGCUGCUGAUUGGCUGGAAUGUUCGG
Molecule: non-coding RNA, 167 nt
Organism: Pelobates cultripes (western spadefoot toad)
Lineage: Eukaryota; Metazoa; Chordata; Amphibia; Anura; Pelobatidae
Source: the annotation of a GenBank genome assembly